Molecule: long non-coding RNA, 1533 nt
Filed under: Marmota monax (woodchuck)
Lineage: Eukaryota; Metazoa; Chordata; Mammalia; Rodentia; Sciuridae
Rfam family: tRNA (bases 924-992)
Source: RNAcentral
GCAGAAUGCUAGAGAUACUAGCAUACAGAAAAUUUUAAUCCCUCAAGGAAAUACAUAGAAAACUAUAACAAAGGAGAUUAGAAGAACCGAAAAGUGAGAGGUGAAUCUAAGUGCUGGACAACUCUUUUUUUUUUUGUUUUAAAUUUUUAAUUUUUUUUUCUUUAGUUGCAGAGGGAAGAUCUACGGAGGAGGUGAAAACUGAGUGCGUUCUUGAGGGGUGACCAAGAACUUUGUGAGGAGAAGGAAAGGGAGACUAGAGGCAGAGGGAACAUGAGAGCAGGGACAGGGAUACAAUGGGCAGAUCUGUCUGCAAAAGGUGAGUGGAGGAAGGAGCGGCAGGCUUAUUUGAGGGGAGAUGGAGCCUAAGUUGGAAAGGUGGCAGGAGCUUCAUUGUGAAGGUCUUUAAAUGGUGCUUGGAUUUCACUGAGUGAGUCACUGGCUGCCCUGGCAGGAUCUUAAUCAGGAGAGUGCUGAUGAUGGAUAUUUUGAGUUAGGAAGCUAAACAAGGAGACUUUUUACAUUGGCCCAGGUAAAACAGUCUUCCAUAUAUCAUACAUCAAUUGUGUGUGUGUGUGUGUGUGUGUGCGUGUGCGUGCGCAUGUGUGUGUUUUCUCUCUCUCUUUUCCUAAGUAGUAUACUAAAAUAAAAGAUAUUUCUUUUCCAGGGGUUCAAUGCAUUUGCCCCACAAACAACUCAGGUGGUUCCAAUGAAUGAAGUCCAGCAGAAGGGAUGGAAGAGUGUCAUCUUUACUUGGAAUUGUGGGACAUUUUUGAAAGGCAAGUAGGGAAGAAGAGAGAGGAAGUUACGUGUAUCAGACUUUGCCUAUUUCUCCAAGAAGACAGAUCCUUUUCUUUUCUUUUUUUUUUUUUUCUGCAGGUCUCUUUAGAUCUAAUUAAGCAGUAAAAAUAUUCUAAUUGAGUUGUGGGGCUGUAGUUCAGUGGCAGAGCGCUUGCCUAGCAUGCGUGAGGCACUGGGUUCAAUCCUCAGCACCACAUAAAAAUAAACAAAUAAAAUAAAGGCAUUUUGUCCAUCUACAACUACAAAAAAAAAUUCUAAUUGAGUUGCGCUGGACUGAAGAUUGAGCUUUAUCUUGGUACAAUUAUAUAAUCUAUGCUUCCAAAUUUAUCAUUUCUUCCUCCAAGAAGAUGAAGCAUGUAAAAGAUUCUCAGACGUGGAUAGAACCGAUGCUGUUGUUAUCAAAGGGGAGUAAGAGAUGUGUUAUUCUACAUGUGUAUGAUGCCCAGUCCAUUAAAACAUCCCACUCCUGCCCAGGAGGACCAGAAGGGAAGGCAGAAGGACCAACAGACUGAUUAAUAGGCAAGUUUUAUUGCAAACUCUUAAGACUAUAGUGACUGCUGCUUUUUUUGAACAUGGGCUUUUGCUCAGGUCACUGGUGGAGCUGCAGACCUGAGACUGGAGGUGGUGACAGUGGAGGUUUAACUGUGCUAAGAGGGACCAUGUCAUCAGAAGAGUGAUGGCGCAGAGAAAGGCAUGCAUCCUCUCGUUCCCAUUCAUCCUUUCCCCACGUCCUCC